UCGGCUCCGGUUCACGGUCCCCAUCGGGGGAGCGACCCGGCGCC
RNAcentral lists this non-coding RNA (44 nucleotides) under unclassified sequences. RNAcentral describes it as "L31-Actinobacteria ribosomal protein leader". It matches the Rfam family "L31-Actinobacteria ribosomal protein leader". The record is from RNAcentral.